RNAcentral lists this ribosomal RNA (301 nucleotides) under uncultured bacterium. Its description in RNAcentral is "partial 16S ribosomal RNA". It matches the Rfam family "Bacterial small subunit ribosomal RNA", at positions 509 to 807 of the family's 1533-position model. The record is from RNAcentral.
CAGCCGCCACGGUAAUACGUAGGGUGCGAGCGUUAAUCGGAAUUACUGGGCGUAAAGCGUGCGCAGGCGGUUCGUUAAGACAGAUGUGAAAUCCCCGGGCUUAACCUGGGAACUGCAUUUGUGACUGGCGAGCUAGAGUAUGGCAGAGGGGGGUAGAAUUCCACGUGUAGCAGUGAAAUGCGUAGAGAUGUGGAGGAAUACCGAUGGCGAAGGCAGCCCCCUGGGCCAAUACUGACGCUCAUGCACGAAAGCGUGGGGAGCAAACAGGAUUAGAUACCCGAGUAGUCCCUGUCUCUUAUAC